This 397-nucleotide ribosomal RNA is filed under the name uncultured bacterium. RNAcentral describes it as "bacterial SSU rRNA". It matches the Rfam family "Bacterial small subunit ribosomal RNA", at positions 362 to 776 of the family's 1533-position model. The record is from RNAcentral.
UAUUGCGCAAUGGGGGAAACCCUGACGCAGCAACGCCGCGUGGGUGAUGAAGGUCUUCGGAUUGUAAAGCCCUGUUUUCUGGGACGAUAAUGACGGUACCAGAGGAGGAAGCCACGGCUAACUACGUGCCAGCAGCCGCGGUAAUACGUAGGUGGCGAGCGUUGUCCGGAUUUACUGGGCGUAAAUGGUGCGUAGGCGGAUGUUUAAGUGGGAUGUGAAAUCCCCGGGCUUAACCUGGGGGCUGCAUUCCAAACUGGAUAUCUAGAGUGCAGGAGAGGAAAGCGGAAUUCCUAGUGUAGCGGUGAAAUGCGUAGAGAUUAGGAAGAACACCAGUGGCGAAGGCGGCUUUCUGGACUGUAACUGACGCUGAGGCACGAAAGCGUGGGUAGCAAACAGG